Panicum virgatum (switchgrass) is the source of this 6717-nucleotide long non-coding RNA. RefSeq lists it as uncharacterized. NCBI's taxonomy places the organism in Eukaryota, Viridiplantae, Streptophyta, Magnoliopsida, Poales, Poaceae. The transcript is spliced from 2 exons. The record is from RefSeq and is a predicted model, not a curated record.
CUCACUGUCGGAGGAUCUUGCUUGCUCCCCUCCCCAUCUCUCUUCUCUCCCAGUCCUCGUUGAAGCCGCCGCUCUCCCCCUCCAAAACCCUAGCCCUAGCUACUCGCUAGAACCGCCACCACGCCCUCCAUCGGAUCCGGGCGCCAUAGCGCCGGGAACAUCCAACUCUGUAGCCGAAACCCCACCCCACCGCCCUCGUGGAUCCAUCACCAAGCCGACACAUCUCUACACCUCGCCACCGGACCUAGAGCAAGCGAAUGGCGAGGAGCCAGACAGAUCUGCGGCGACCUUGGCUGCCGAUACGGGUCGGCGGCACGAGAAUCUCCGAUGCCAACCUCAGUUCGGAUCCCUCUUACCUUUUUCCUCUUUGCUCCUGUUGUCUUCCGCUUUUCUUCAUUUUGUUUUUGCGGAUUCGGUAGUGUGCCCCCCGUUAUGUUGUUUAUUUUUGGAAGAUCACCCGGUUUUGGUGCGGAUCCUUGAUGAUCUGAGGCCCUGGAUCUAUGCACUAGGGUUUCAGCCUGAUUUAUGAACUGAGUACUUGAUUAAUUUGUUUUUUUUCCUCAUGGGGGGUAUUCUGAUCUGCCAGCCUGAUGAUUAGCAUUGUUUGCACAAGAACGGAGAUCUGAUUGAGCUUCCUCGUCGUAGCCCGCUUGACUGCUGUGGUGGUUCAUGGCAGGCAGGCAGGCAGGCUCGAGCUCGGCUCGUUGACAGAUUUACCACUCCCACUGUUGUGCUAUGUUUUUGCACAUGCAGACAUAGCACGGCGAAGAAGGGGUGAAUCUGCCAACAAAUGCAUGGAGCAUUAAUUUUCCUAUGGCUCUGUUUAGUUCCCAAAAAUUUUCCUACAUACAUACAUAUAUACAUAUCUCCUCUUCUGCUCUUCUGCAAUUCCACUGAGCAGGCUGAGUGGGCUCCGAGGAAUGCGUAUGUAGAUGCAAAAGUUAUGAAGGCUAUUGCAGGUUGGAAGAAUGCCCUUGUGUUAAAUUGUUUAAUGAGUUCAUCACUAGUGCAAAAGUUGUUUUGACUUUGAAGUACUGCAAUGAAGCCAUGCUGCUUUUGAUUUGGUUGGUGUCGUGCUAAUGGUUUUGCGAUAUCUUACUGGACUGAUAUUUGAGUUGCAAACUUGCAAUAUUUCACCCUAUGGGCAACAUAGGCAGUUGAUGAGAAACAAAGGCAAUUGCAUCUGCAGUGCUCCUGAUUCAUAGGGGCUUAAUGGCAUGAUGACUCUGUCUAGGGGAAUCUCUGAUGCUAAUUAAGCUAAUUCCAGUAAUAUAGCUUAUGGAGUGUGUGAGUUUGAUUCCUGUUACACCAUGCUAGUAAUAGGUGUCUCUUUUAUCAGAUAAUGCAAAUUUUUCUUUAUUUAAUAAAAGUUUCUGAUCUCUUGUUGCAAGAUAAGAUAUGCGUUUUUGCAAUGUGGAUUACCAUGAUCUGUCAACCUGGGGGAGCAGAGAUCUAAAUCCCAUGUCCAUGGAAGCUUCUUAGUAGCUGUGCUGGAUCGUAAAUUCCCUCUGUUCUUAAUAUUCAAACUGAUUCAUAAAUGUUUAAUCAUCUCUGGUUCUGUUUCUCAAAGCAGGCUAAGUAGACUCUAGGAAAUUUUAUAUAGAUGCAAACAUUACAAAAGGUUUGGCAGAUUGGAAAAAUGCCUCUACUAGAUUAUUGUUACCGAUUUAACAAGUUCUUGGUUGCUACAAACUUGUUUCUGUGAUACUUGUUACUCUCACUCUGCUCACAAUCUGAAGGCUAAUUUGCUUUGUACUGGUACUUUUCUUUUUGAUUUGCCACAUGGGCUGAAAAUGAGCUUGGAUGAUUAUUUUCUAGAAUAUGGCCGUCUUGUUGUGGAAACUUGGGUAGUAUGCAAGUUGCAUAUUACAUCAUUUCAUUACACAAGAAAGCCUGGCAGAUGAUGAUGAGAAAGACAAAGACAUCUGCAGUGUUCCUUUAACUUCAGGACACAAUAGCAUGAUGACUCCGUCUAGGGGAAUCUCUGAUGCCGAUCUAUGUUUUGGUGCCUUAUUUGCUUGGAAGCUUCUGUAUUUUUGCAUGGCUUUAAGUGCUCAUUGGAGGAAUCAUGACUUGUUUGCGGUUUGCAAUAAUUCACCAUUUCAAAUUUGUUGGUGAUGAGAAGACAAGACCUUUUUUAGUGUCCCUGGUGAUACAAUUGCUCUAUGUGUCCCUUAUGAAGCUGCUGAUCAACUUACUACUCCUUUCCAAACCUUUUAUCUUCUUUUAUAUCUGAUAUUGAUUUGGAUUACCAGGGAUAUAUGUCUCUUAUAGCUUAAUAAUCAAAUUGUUUGCGGUAAGAAUGGGUAUCUGAGUGCGCAUUUACAUUGUAGCCUGUCUUGUUGCUGCGGUGGAUCAGUAGUGGUGCAGUAGUGGUACAUAUUCCCUCCUUGUCACUAUAUGUUUUUUUUACUCGGAUCAUGUUUGACUUGCGGUUUUGUUUGAAGAUUCCUCAGUGAUCGGCACCCUAACGAUUAUUUUAUUUUUCUGUUUAGCAUUAAGAAUUAAGAUGUAACGAUUAGCUAGGUGGAUGAUUUUUAAACCAUAGAUUUGUUUAAGCAUGUUCUAGAAAUCGCCAUAUUCGAAAUCUGCAGUUUGCAUCCUACAUAUAUUCCAGUUUCAAUGUUUGUUUUCGGGACAUACUGAUUUGCCAGCCUGAUGAUUCCCUCUGCACUAAUAGUGGAGAUCGGAAUACACUUGAUCAUUGAAGCUGGCUUGGCCGCUGUGGUGGAUCAUAUACUCCCUCUGUUCCAAUUAUAAGUCCAUCCAUCCAUCCAUCCAUCCAUCAUAAGCCAGUCUGAUUUUCUUCCACCAAGCUGGCCAAAUUGGCUCUGGUUAAGAUGUGUGUAGAUAAAAAGAAAUAUGAAGGCUUUGGCAGACACGUAUUUGGUGUAUACUACCAGUGCAUUAUGUGCAUUUGGAAGAUUAUUUGUGCAGAACUGCCAUGCAUAGUCCCUUUAAAAUGUUCUGAUUUUGAUUUUAUUAUGGGUGCAUGAUGUACCAGCCUGAUGAUUACAGGUAAUUUCCACUAAGAAUGAAUAUCUGAAUGCAUUUCUCCUAUUGAAGGCUGCUUAGCCCCUCUGGUUGAUGGUCUGCUAUUGCUGCUGCUGCUGCUAUUACUAUAACCAGAAGGGACUCAUGUCUUCCUACCCGAUAACGUAUUGACUGUUACCACCGCUUAGGUGUUACCGUAUCACCAAAUUUAAUACAUCUACAUCGGUGCAUCAAAAAAUCAUCCAAAAAAUAUGGAUGGAUAGAGCACACUAACAUCUACCCUCAUGCAAAGUUUGAGGUUGAAGAAGAAUUUGUGCAAGAAGGGGAAAAAAAACACUAGCACUUGUCCAUGAACAGUUGAACUCGCAACUAUUCAAGUGCUAGUUUCUCUUUUUUCUUCUUGCACAAGUGUUUUUUCAACUAACUUUGCAUGAUGGUAGAUGUUUGCCUGCUCUAUCCAUUCAUAUGUUUGGAUGAACUUUUGAUGCACUGAUAUAGAUGUUAUUAAAUUUGGUAAUAUAUGGUAAUACCUAAAGAGGUGGUGACACUGGAUACGUUCUCCUUCCUACCUUCCUCUCUCUGUCAUCCCUGUGUGUGAUUCUAUCAACCAAGCUGGCUAAGUGAGCUCCUUGGAAUGCCUAUGUAGUCUCGAUGGUGUUAUGAAGGCUUGGCCAAUAUAAGAAUGCUCUUAUUGAACAAUUUUGUUUUAUAACAAGUAAUUUCUCUCUAUAGGCUUGGUGGUUCUCUUCCAUUUUCCAAACAGCUUUUUGAAAACUGCAUCGCAAUUAAUCUCUUUUGUGUUUUUUCCUUUUGAGGUUAUAAAGAAAAUGGUGGAGCUUUUGUCCAAUUUGUGAUCCAUCUGACCAGCUGUUGGAAUUAUGAAGAUUUUCAGGUUUUUGGUCUGAUUUAUAUGCCACUUAGAAUUUAUUGAAGUGAACCGGCGAAUCAGCGAUGUGGUAUGACAACUUAGUCAGGUGAUCUGCUUUUGACGAGAACUGAACCUAAAGUGAUGACCAUUUAUUUAAUAGAAUAGAAUAGAUUGGUGGAUACUUGUUAAAUUACGGAUGUAGCUAGGGCUAGUAUAACCAAGUUAUGCAGGGGCGUUUUAUAGUGCCACAGCCAAUGUUUUAUAAUGCAUGCUAAGCUUAAAUUUUAGCCUAAUUUGCUUGCUUUAUAGUACCGCCCUUCCUGAAAUUGAGCACAAGCUCUGCUGCUGAUGUUCUAGAAACUAGCAUACAUCUGUCCGUUUCUGCAAUGAGAGUGUAGAUCUGGAUACGCUUGUUCGCUGACCUCUGGUGGAUCAUAUAUUUCAUCUAAUCAGAAAUUUAAGUAUGUACAUCCAUCUGCAUAAAUGUCAGCCUGAUUUUUCCAUCAGGCUGUCUAAGUGGACUCCGACAAGAGUUUGUAGAUUAACAAGGCUUUGGCAUGUGCAUAACAAGUCCCUCUAGUACCAUUGCAUAAUGAGUUUGUAGAUUAACAAAGCUUUGGCAUGUGCAUAACACGUCCCUCUAGUACCAUUGCUUAAUGCUCUCAAAGGAAAAUAAUUUCACUACCAUAAUUCAGCUUGUAUAAAUGCUUUGCUUAAUGCUCUCAAAGGAAAAUAAUUUCACUACCAUAAUUCAGCUUGUAUAAAUGCUGAUGUGUAGUGCCUAAGGUUGUUAGCUCAGUUGGUCUGGGCGCAGCCAGCGGCACCCGCAGGUGGGGGGUUCGAACCCCCACCAGGGCGGAUUUCCCCCGCUUGCGGGAAAAAAACCCCCUCGCUGUGCUCUUGAUGACUUGGGCUCUGUAGUCAGCCUGGGCCGGGCCCGGUAGGUAACGGUCCCAAGAACGUGGCACCAGACCCAGUGGGCUGAGUUGCCAGCUUGGGCUCGGCCCGUUGGGUAACCGUCCCAGGAACGUGGCACCAGACCCAAGCUCAAGAGCCAGGGUUCGGGGGGUUUUUCGGCAGGGGUCAACUUGGCCUCUUCUUAAUUGAAUGCCGCGGGGGCGGUCUUUCCCGCCCGGUCGAGUUUUUUGUUUUGUUUCAUUUGUAAGUGUCCCAAUGUUUUGUUUUUGUUAUUGGGGCAGGCAUUCUGGUAUACCAGCCUGAUGAUUAUGAUGUUUGCAUUAAGAACGGAGAUCGGAAUGCACUUUGCACGUUGAAGCCUGCUUGGCCAUGCAGCUGCUAGUGCUACUACUGCCUUCUUGGCCCUCGGCUCUUUCUGCCUGUCUCUCUUGCUGCUGCGCUGGUGGUGGCUGGCUGGCUGGCUGCUUGUGUGUGUGUGGAUGUGUGUGAUUCUUCAUCAAGCAAGCUGGCCAAGUGAGCUCCGUGGAAUGUCUAUGUAGAUGCAAAGAUUAUGAUGGCUCUACAGAUGCCAAGAAUGCCCCCCCCCCCCCCAACACACUUUUCUUUAGAGGCUUCGCCUUUUACUGUUCUGUUUUUUUUGUGGUCCUAUUUGGCAAUCGCUCUUUUUUUUCCCAUUACCUGCAACGUGAUUGACUUCUGUUUUCGGAAUUUCUUUUUGGGUUAUUAAGCAAAUGGGCCUGUGAAUGGUUUUAUUAUUGCACAUGCUAUCAUCCUGGUUACUCCUGGGAAUGGAUUGGGCUAAAUCCAAAUCCAAUUGGAUUUUGGCCCAUGAAUUCUAUUGGAUAUGGAUAUCCAUUGCAUUAGGUCAAUUAGGAUUGGAUCUUAUUGGAUAAAAAAAGAGAGAAUAAUCCAUAUGCUGCGAGGGGGAGCACGCACAUCUCCCCCGCAGCCGCCGCGCCGCACGCACCUCCUCUCCGCGUCUCGGCAGUUGCCGCCGCGCCGCACGCACAUUCUCUCCGGGUCCCUCCCGCCGCCGCGCUGCACGCACAUCCUCUCACGGGUUCCGGCCGCCGCUGCCGCGCCGCACGCAAAUCUCUCCCGAGCCCCAGCCGCCGCCGCGCGCAUCUCUCUCCCGGCCUCCACGCCUCUUGUUGCCUGCAAGGCAGCCGGCCUCGACGCAGCAAGGCUUCCAAGAUCCGGAUGCGGCAAGGUACCUGGCCAAAAGGUACCUGCUGGCCGAGAUCCGGAAGCAGCGGCAAGGCGCCCGGCUACCCUCCGCGUCCUUCUGUGUCUCUUGCUUCACCACUGGACACAGCACUAGUCAACUGGGAGGAUGUCUAAUAGCGAAAGUGUGGCAUUACUUCCUAAAAGUGCCGGCGAAGCUGCACAAAAUUCCAAUCGCAGUUGCAGCAGGAAGAGGUCUGCAGUUUGGCAAUAUUUUGAAGAGUUACCUGAUGAAGGAAAGGCAAUAUGCAUUCAUUGCGGUUCAAAAUUUGCUUAUCACAAAGGUAUUGGAAUAUCUCACCUACAGAACCAUAUUAGGACAUCCUGCAAAGAACUUCCUCCAGAUAUUGAUCGUAAUUCCAUUUUUCCAAAAAGUGUGUCUAGUUUGGAUGUUCGCAAUUUUGUACUAGAUCCUAAGUUAGUGAGAGAUUUUAUGACUAAGUUUUGGAUCACUGGAAAUAUUGCCUUUAGAAAGAUAGAAAAUGGUUUUUUCAAGAGAAUGAUGAGGUCAGCCCAUCCAAACCUUGAAGUCCAUGGCAGGCAGACACUCAAGAAUGAUUGCAUGUCAGUUUAUCGAGAAGAGAGAAAAAAGAUUAUGAAUGGUUUUGCCAAUACAGAUUCUUGUGUUAGCUUCACCUCGGAUAUGUGGACAUCUAUCCAAAAUCUUGGAUACAUUUGUUUGACUGCACAUUAUAUAGAUGGAGAUUUUAAUU